UGGGGAAUUUUGGACAAUGGGGGAAACCCUGAUCCAGCCAUCCCGCGUGUGCGAUGAAGGCCUUCGGGUUGUAAAGCACUUUUGGCAGGAAAGAAACGUCAUGGGUUAAUACCCCGUGAAACUGACGGUACCUGCAGAAUAAGCACCGGCUAACUACGUGCCAGCAGCCGCGGUAAUACGUAGGGUGCAAGCGUUAAUCGGAAUUACUGGGCGUAAAGCGUGCGCAGGCGGUUCGGAAAGAAAGAUGUGAAAUCCCAGAGCUCAACUUUGGAACUGCAUUUUUAACUACCGGGCUAGAGUGUGUCAGAGGGAGGUGGAAUUCCGCGUGUAGCAGUGGAAUGCGUAGAUAUGCGGAGGAACACCGAUGGCGAAGGCAGCCUCCUGGGAUAACACUGACGCUCAUGCACGAGAGCGUGGGGAGCAAACAGG
This 429-nucleotide ribosomal RNA is filed under the name Acidobacteriota bacterium. RNAcentral describes it as "Acidobacteria bacterium partial 16S ribosomal RNA". It matches the Rfam family "Bacterial small subunit ribosomal RNA", at positions 355 to 776 of the family's 1533-position model. Lineage: Bacteria; Pseudomonadati; Acidobacteriota. The record is from RNAcentral.